UGAAGAGGAGAUUUGGGAAGAUGCUGUUUCAUAAGUCGCUUUGCCUGAUCACGUCGGGAUGUCUGCUAACAAGAUGCCUUGCUGGUCUGGGCGAGUAUAAAGGCUUACACAGACAGUCCAGAGGUUCUGAAGUCCAUCUUCGAUCUCAUUGGACGAUUUAAGGUGUAGAAACAUCUCAGCAACCUCAAGAGAAAUUGGAGGCAACUGUGCUAAAUUGCAGAUGAUGUUGCAAAGGGUCUGAAUAUGUAUAAUGUAAAUAUGAUAUGUUUUCUUUUUUCAUACAUUUGCAAAAGUUUCUAAAAUUCUGUUUUUACUUUGUAAAAAUAUCUAAACAAUUACAGUAUCAUGCAACAACAUAAAAUUGAAAGUGAAAGGUGUAUGAUUUCUGAAUGGACUGUAGAUGAUCUUAAUUGUCAUCUUCGUAAACACAACAGCUUUGUUCCUUCAUCAGAUGGCUAUGCAAUGUUUCAAGUCAGACUAUCAAAGAAAACGCAUCUUGCCCUGAUGUGCAAUAACAAGAUUUUUUUGUACAUGGGCUAAAAUGCAGCAUUUUUUGAAAAUUAAAUAUCUUGUGUUUUUUCCCUCCUUAGAUGCUGUCAUCGUAUUAAGUACAGC
Non-coding RNA from Paramisgurnus dabryanus, 615 nucleotides. NCBI's taxonomy places the organism in Eukaryota, Metazoa, Chordata, Actinopteri, Cypriniformes, Cobitidae. The record is from RefSeq and is a predicted model, not a curated record.